Molecule: ribosomal RNA, 313 nt
Filed under: uncultured bacterium
Lineage: Bacteria
Description: bacterial SSU rRNA
Rfam family: Bacterial small subunit ribosomal RNA
Source: RNAcentral
GAUGAACGCUGGCGGCGUGCCUAACACAUGCAAGUCGAACGGACUUAUAACGAAACCUAGUGAAUUAUAAGUUAGUGGCGGACGGGUGAGUAACGCGUGGAAAACCUGCCGUAUACUGGGGGAUAACACUUAGAAAUAGGUGCUAAUACCGCAUAAGCGCACAGCUUCGCAUGAAGCAGUGUGAAAAACUCCGGUGGUAUACGAUGGUUCCGCGUCUGAUUAGCUAGUUGGUGAGGUAAAAGCCCACCAAGGCAACGAUCAGUAGCCGGCCUGAGAGGGUGAACGGCCACAUUGGGACUGAGACACGGCCCAG